Long non-coding RNA from Bacillus rossius redtenbacheri, 10477 nucleotides. RefSeq lists it as uncharacterized. NCBI's taxonomy places the organism in Eukaryota, Metazoa, Arthropoda, Insecta, Phasmatodea, Bacillidae. The record is from RefSeq and is a predicted model, not a curated record. The transcript has 5 exons.
GGAUGCAAAUUGGCAUGCAUUACGUGUAGGAAUUUACAGGAGACAGAGGAUGGUCUGGAUGAAGUGUUGGACAGAGUAGAAAAGAGUCUACCAUGCGGGGGUUGGACACUUGGACUCAUGGUCCGCUUUGCUAAUUGUCCAGUACGGGAUUUAGUGGCCAGGGAUGCAAGCGCCCCUGGUGGUGAGUGGUUGCACUGACCACCCACUCCGCCGCCAGUCAGCACCUAAAAAACUAAGAAACUCUAAGACAGAAAACAGAUAAAUGACUUACAAACUAGGCAUUUCGUCACGAAAAUAUGCAAACACCCAACUCAUGGAUGGGUGUGCAGUGCUUAAGAUAAAACUACAAUAAUAACUAUAAAUAUUAUUUUUAUUUUAUUUUAUUUUUUUAAAUUAUUAUUUUAGAAAUAUAUAUUUUUUUAUGACUAUUACUUAGUAUCUAGGACUUAAUACAAAUUUACAAAUCUCUAAUUACUACUAUACUACUAGUUAAAUAUAGAGGAACUGUCGGUGUAUAAAGUUACAGGUGAAUUAAGUCAAGACCUAUUCGCAUUUUGGUAUUUGUUGCAAGCUUGCAAUUCAAAAUCCCAUGUCUUUCAGAAACACAACCGGCACUGGCGGUGAAGUCUGCCAGGCGGGCCAUGCCCAUCGGACAUAAGGAGUCAGCCCUAACAGCACAGGCAGUGGAACUCCCGGGAGCCAAACCUACACCUGCGUACUUCGGACCAUUUUGAAUUAGCAAAUUAUUUCAUUAAUGUCUAUAAUUUAAGUUUCAACUCGCGGGAGACUGAUUGGCCGAUCGUUCAGCCAGCCACAGCACACUACGGAGGUCUGUGAGCCAAGAUUGAAUUUGGCAUUUUAUAUUUUCCAUGCAACUCUGGAUCUUGUUCGCCCAGUGAUGAAAUAUAUGGGUUUCUGCUUAUGGCACAUCUAUCAUAGAAUUUUUGCGCAGUUCGGAAAUAAUAAUGUUUUAAAAGUUCGAGUUUGAGCUCUCUGUGCAUAGCCCUUACGGGGCAAUACACAGGCGCAUCUGUCGCAAUACGAAUACUCUUAUUCUGAAUUCUCUGCAGCUUGAUUAAGUGAGAUUCCGCUGCUGUUGCCCACACCGGCGCUGCAUACGUGAUUAUUGGAUUUAUUAGUGCGUUAUAAAUUAUUAUUCCGUUUUUAACAGAGCUACCUAAACGUCUGCUCAUGACAGGGUAGAGGGCCAUGAGCCUAGUGAAAGCUGUUUUUCUUUUCGCCUCUAUGUGAUCGCGCCAUAGCAGUUUCCUAUCCAUGCGCACGCCUAAAUAUUUAACAACAUUUUUGUGAGGAAUGUGCUCAUUGAAAAGUGUUAGUCGUGGUGAGAGAUGUUUACGCGUAAAAACUAUAUCUUCUGAUUUAGUAGGGUUUACCUUAAUUCGCCAUUUUGUGCACCACUGUUCUAUUGAAUUUAACGCGGUUUGCAAUCUGUCUUCUGCGAGUUCUAGAAUACUAGAUCUGCUAAACAAUACCGUAUCGUCCGCGUAGCAGCCAAACUGAACUGAUCGGUGUGCGGGCUUAGGCAUAUCAUGGAUAUAAAUAUUGAAUAAAACCGGCCCCAAAAUGCUGCCUUGUGGGACUCCUGCUUGGUAACUAAUCCCUCUUCGUAUAUAUCCGGAAGGAGCCGAGUGCGCCCGAAGACGGACAAGAAACAAACGACGAUCGGCCGCCGGCUACGAGAUAGUGAUGGGCAGAACGGUUCUUUUGGAUGAGUUCCGUGAAAUGAUUCGUUCAUCUCGGUCAAUUCGUUCUUUUCUGUGUAUGGGAUCUGGCUCUUUUAUCAGGUGUCGUAACUCGUUCAUCCUUUAGAGUAUUAGGUACGUGUUUUUGUAUUUGAAUUUGAACAUUACUUUCCGUAACCAGGGAAUCACAGUUGCGUAUAUGAAACAAGAUUAUUAAUAUUUUAUUACUUUUUAAGUUACAAAUAUUAAUAUAUAGGCUAUUUACACUCUAGUGACAGUAAGUGUUUACAUGUAGACCAACACAUUUAGAGAAAAAAAGACAAAAAUGUAAUACUACUACUGCGAUUCAGUAUGAAGAGAAACAUAUGAAGUACAUUAAUUAACCCAAAAAUGGUAUGUGUGAACAUUUGUAGUUACUUUCCCUGUUAUUUUUAAUUCAUACGGUUUUUUUUUUUCUCCAAAUUUGUGUAAGUGAAUGUGAAAAAGCAAUUUUAAACCACUACUUAACAGUUGACAUUUUCAGGUAUAGAUACUUUUCAUAUUCCCCUAUUUAAUUUGAUCAGUUAUCGUUUGCUCACGUGAACAUGCGCACGCUGUGAUUACUAAUUCUUCAGACUCCUGACGUCAUGAAUCAUUUCACGAACGAAUCAGACCGGGCGGGUGGCCGGUUCUCUCGUUCUCUCCGCGUUUUCGUUCUUCCGAAUCUUUCAAGGUACCGGCUCUCAAAGAGCCGGUUCUUUACAUCGUGAACGAAUCGCAAGAUUUCGUUCUCUCAAAGAUUCGUUCUUUUUGAACGAAUCGUUCACGAACGACCCAUCCAUCACUACUACUAGAGCCAGAUACUAUUUUUAAUCUGCACAACAGAUAGCGCUAGUAGAUUGACCUAGUUCUUUUGUAAAUUCAUAGGUAGCGUUAGUGUUCAUAAUCAAAUGUCAAUUGAAUGUUUAUAAGAAACUAAAUUUAUGCAAUAAAUACUAAUAAUGCAAUAAAUAUAGUGUAAUAUUAAUUUAUUUUGAUUUCAAAAACAGUUGAUUUGUAAAAAUUGUUUUUUUUUUGCAGUAAUAUUCGUUUACAGAUUGAUUUGAGCAUUAUAGUCGCUCUUUUUUUUUUCGGUUUGUAGUAGAUUUUGGUCGAGUGAAAGAUGGAUUUUGAUUUAUCAUUUUGAAUUAUUUUCCUAUAUGAUUGUGAAUUAAGAAGCCGAUGAAGAUGCCUGUGAAUACACAUCAAUGUUUUGUGUCUUCGUGCAGGAACAGUAUUACUGUUAAUCCUGAUGUGACAACAUUCAGAUUUCCAUGAAGCCGAAGCAAGUUAUUGAAGUGGAUUGCUGCAAUUGGCUAUGACCUUGAUGCCAGUAAUGCUGAAACAUUUAAAACUAAAUAUGUAUGUUCCGAACAUUUUGAUAUUGGAGCUUUCACUACAUGUGACUGCAUCAAAUUGAAUCGUGGUGCUGCUACAACAUAUUUUAAUUCUGUGGACAGUGAAGUAUGGAUCUAUUGUUAUAAUUUAUUAUGUCUAGAAUGCUGCCAAAUAUAGGUGAAAUGUUUAUGUUACAUAACAUAACUUGUAAGAUCUACUUGUGCAGAUAUAUAUUUUCACCUGCCUCUAAGGUCCUUUGUUAUUCACAGGUAGCAUUUACAUGUGAUGAAGCAGUAUUUAACAUUAUUGGUCAACAUGCAGUCCAUCAUUACAACCUUUGUACAGGCGCAUACAAACAUAUAUGUGUGGGGUAUUUCACACUUUUUAUUUGAUGUUAAAGAUUGGUAUGGUGACCGGGAUACUUUUUUUUAUUAAACCUCCUACACAGUUCUCUACUGUUUCCCUUAUCUGUUGCCUUAACAUUUUUUUCCGAUCAGUCCAAUUCCUUGAAUCACAUUGCAAAAAAAGUCACAAUACAUGGGAUUGGGCCACUCUCUUCAAAGAAUUGUAAUUCGAGUUUAAACAUAGCAAGGCUGACCAUAAAUUGUAGAGGAAAAUUUAAAAUGUUGAUCUUCAACAUAUUUAUAACCUAUGCUCAUGUGAUGUAUAUACAGCUAGUUAGAAAGUAAGUUGUAGUAUAGUAUGCAAUUGAACCUUCAAUAAGUUCUACAUCCACACUUAAAAACUUAUUUUACUUGAUGUUUUAUGUUCAAUAACUAUUCAGUAUAAAGGUUUUUUUUUACAUUAUAAACUACAAAAGUAUUCCGAUUUGUAAAUGUAAUGAAAUUCCACUGAGCCCUCUACCUUUUUUUUAACUACCAUUUCUGCCGUGUGGCCUUUUUUUUCUUACUUUUGUGUUCAUUAUAAGUUACAACCACUCAUUUGAUUUAUUGUGUUAAAUUAAAUGAUAUUUAAAAUUGGAUGUCACUUCAUAAGAACAUUCAGGAUUACCUGUAUUCACAGCGCACAAUUAUACAAAAGUUUUUUAUGUAUGUAAAAGUGUUUUACGUAAGCCAGUGGACACAUACAUGUAUUGAGUAACAUGAGAAAAUUGAAAUAUCUAAAAUAAAAUUAAAAGGUUACAAGCUUUUAUAUACAUGCAGCUCCCAAAAAAGUCUGCAUACUAAAAAAUAACACAUGCUUUUAAAUGAAUUCUUACCAUCUUAUAAACUAGUAGUAUUUUGUUAUUUGAUUUCAAAUGAAUUGUUUUUGGUUAAUUUAUUUGACUGAAGGGAUUAAACAUCAUUUGUAGAAUAAAGUGUGAAAAGUAGUAUUGAUCAAUUUAACUGUAAGUACUAAAUAUGUGUUACAUUUCUUGUAAGUUAAAAUUGUUCAGGUAUUAUAAAUUAGCUGAAAAAAGCAAACUCAUGACUAGAAUAAAUUGUACUGUUAGGUAUGUUUCGAAGAAAGACUACCUGUUGCAGUCGUUACCAUGUGUAUGUACCACAUUUUUAUUGUCAUUAUAACUGCCAUAAUUUUGUACAAAUAAAUCACUUAAUACAUAAAAUAUGGUUAUGGAAAUUCUCAGUUGAGUUUGUUAAUGGAUAUAGGCCAACAAAAGGGGUAUAAAUGGGGAAGAUUUUUUGAAAAACAUUUAAAUCACUUCAACUCCCAUAACAUGAAACAUAUCACAUCUGUUUGAACAUAUUAUAACUUAAAGGAGUAUUACCAAAAAUUUUGUCUACAUACUUGAAUAUGACCAGCCAUAACUGUUAAGGGGUGGGAAAAAACAAGGGUUUGAGGACAAAAAACUCCUAACUAUCUUAGUAGGCACACCAUAGAAUCUGUUCAAAUUUGUUGUCAAUUUUAAAAAAUUUUAUAACCACCUGAUAACCACCAAGGGUGCUGUGGGUAAAAUAAUGAGGGGUUAAUGGACAAACAAAUAUUCUUAAUUACUCUAUUAAGUUAACUAUAAAAUCUAUAACAAUUAUUGCAAUUCUUCUAAAACUUGUAUAAAACUUUGAUCUGAAACAAUUUUUUUAGGAUUAACCAGUGCUGCAAGAAGUUGAAAAUACCAGUGGGUGGAAAUUUAAAAAAAUAAUAAUAAAACUUCUGUACAGUGUACACUAUCGCAUCCAUUCUUAUUUAUUUAAAACUUUCUAAAUAUCUUUUGAAACUUUAAUGUAACCAAACAUUACUGCAAUGAGUGAAAAUAAUAUAUUCAGAGACAAAAAAUGAUAACUUUAAUUAUUGCACUUGCUCUCUGUAUGCUGACUGCAUUGCUAAAAUGCACAUAGACCUCCAAUUAAAUUAAUAAAAUAAAGUAUUCUGCAAAAUGUUGAUAGCGAAACAAUUAAAAUUGUGCCAAUCUCACCUGUGUACAUGAAAAUCUAUAUUAUGCUUCAAAUAGGCUAUUUUAUAAACCAGAAAAUGAAAUUACCUAUUUAGGACUUUCCAUUACCCUUAGCAUUCCUUUACUGCAUCUUAUUUUUUUGUUCAGUUAUAAUUAAAUUUUGGUAUCUUCUUGUUAUACGUGGGUAAUUGUUCCUUAUCACGUACUCAAGUUCAAGCCUUGAUCCUGUAUGAUUGAUCCUGUGGUACAUGAUGCUUGCUGUCUUAAUUUAGUACAUCAAAGAUCCUGGACAUAACAAAAAUAUUACAAUAAAAAUAAUUUUUGGAAGUAAAAAAAAAAUUACUUUCAGAUUUUUAUUUGAUGUGAUAAUACCAUCAGAAUUCAUUGUUACAUCACCCCAUUAUUGUAUCCAGGAUCUUUCUAUAUACUAAAUUAAAACAGCAAGCAUCAUGUACCACAGGAUCAAUAUAUUCAGGAUCAUGCCAUUAGGAUCAAGGGAUAGGCUUGGAUACGCUGUGCGGAACAUUUACCCACAUUGUGUUUAAAUAUAAAUUGUUUCAUCUUGUGGGUGAAGAGAAAGAAGGUAUCCUCAGUCCAAUUCUUUCAUCUACUCCAUAGUACAUAUGUUUCUAAGAGCUAUACAGUUGGUUUUAGAUUUAUUUAGCAGUAGUUAGCUUCAAACCAGAAAUUAUAUUAGGUCUUUACAGCAUUAUUUAUACUAUUUUCCUUCACAAAAAUUUAUGAACCAUCAGAAAAGUGUGGUGUGCUACCUUGUGUAAUGUGAGAAAGCUGGUAUACUUGAAACACGAGUGGGCCAAGGAAACUCAUUCUGAGAACUAUAUAUGAUUUUAUUUGUACACUUUAAAGUUGUGUAAGUGAGAUACAAUUACUAGGUCUUUUACUUUACUUUUGAUCUUGAAAUAACAACUUUUGAAGAAAAUAUUUAUGAUUUAUGAGGUCUAAAGGUUUAGACUUAACACAAAAAUAAUUCAUGCUGAAUUUUAACUCAAAAUUUCAAGGCUUGACUAGUAAACUUUAAUAUUGUAUUUACUGUUGACUUUUUGUAAGUCACAAUGUCAUUUUUUUAAUGUAAAUUUUGAAUGCAACAAUAUACAAUAUUAUUCUUAAAAGUGAAUUAGAUAAUAGGGUCAUUCAAAUAUAAACCGGAAUAUUUUUAUACAGAUUUAUUGGUGAUAUACGAAAACUACAAGUGGAAUGCCUUUUUUUUCUACAUAGUUUCCUUAAGCAUAUAUACUUCCCCCCCCCCCCUCCCAUUUCUGAUCCCUUCAUGAAAAGAAGACUGGUGCUCCAGCAGCCAACUGCACAUGUACUGUUUGACUGCAGCAUUGUCUUCAAAUCAUUACCCUCCUAAUGCCUCUUUCAGUGGACCAAACAUACAGCCUGAAUAUUGCCUUCAUUGAUGCUGGUUGCCGGAUGCAAUAUGUGGCAUCGAUUUCCCACUUUCAAAACUUAUGGCCCAAUGGAACACUUGUGCAUGCCUAGGUAUCUCCUCCCCAUUCUCCCGCCACCGAUUCCCCAGCGGACUGCACCACUCAAGUCGCUACUUGAGUCGAAAGAACAAAAUUCUGUGGACAGUGAAGGAUGGAUGUAUUGAACUUUAAAAAUAGCCUUUUUAGUGUUGUUUCAACCUUGCCAUAUUAUGGUUUACAUAGUUGUGUGAGAUGCACUAUGUACACAAAACUUAGUUUUUUAGUUUAUUUAAAUUGUGAAAUCAUCAAAUGUUAUAUUCAUGUUCCUUUUUUUUUUCUUGGGUUAUGUUUGUAACUUUGACUCUUUUUGUUUAUUCAUCCCGCUAGGUUAAAUGGGUUUUUAAUGAUUUUCCAUUUGAAAAAGAAAAAUGUAGUGCCCAAACGUGACUUGAAAGAAUUGAGUUACCACCUGAUCGUGUCUGUGAUAACUAAGGAGAAUUUUAAUUAGCAGAUCUCAUUUAGUCCAAAAUUUAAAUUUAAAAAAAAAAAUGAACAGUUUUUUUAACACAGGAUCACUUUCAGCACAUUGAAAUUGUAUCGAGCAUCCUGCAAAUAAGAUUAUGAAACAAAUUCAAAAGGCUAUUAUUAUUAUUAAUAUUAUUAUUAUACGACGGAAAAUAGCCAGUUCGAUAGCUCGAAACACGUUGCUAAUCGAUUUGUAUUAUACAUAUCGAUUUAUAUCGUUAACGCACUUUCGAUCACGGUAUUUCAUUUGUAGAUUCAUAGAUGGCAGCGUAAUCGGCGAUUGUUUGUAGGUACAGAAAAACAGCGUUGAGUUUCCGGUCUUUAUGAUAUAUGGUCGUUGCUUCUGGACGCCUGCGUCGUGAAGUAAAAUUCGUGUGUAUGCUCAUCCUGAAAGUAUUUGUUGACGGCUGCAGAAAUGUGUGGCUGUGCCGAGGGGAAUCACUCUGGCGCGAUGUGGAGCAUACGUCCCACCUGAGUCGUGAUGGCGGCUAGGUGCAGCACUGGGCUUCACCUGUGUACUGAAUCUUCCCAGGAGAUGUCUUGAGCACCACUGUUGCACCUCACGGCCUCCUUCUGCACCGUCAUACCACGCAGACGUGUGUGACCAGUACCGCUGGUCCCAAAGCCUCAUCUUCACCACGUGACCUCCAGAGGUGAAGCGGAAACUGUUGUACAGUUUGUCGUGAGCAGAGCCCGUGAAGGAGGGUGGACAGGGGCCUCAACAGAAAAAAAAAAAGGGAGAUAAACUUUUAUUCUUUAGAUGUAUUUUUUAUUGUAAGGUUUAUAAAAUUGUACAUUAAUUAAUGUGGUGAAGGGGUGGUAGGGGGUGUGGAGCUGACAAAAUUAUUUGCAGCAGACUGGUUUGGUUAGAAAUCAUGUGCAUCACACCCAUAGUGCUAUUUUGAUUUCAAUAUUAUUGCACAACUUUUUUAUUCUUUAUGAUAUCACUUACAUGCAAGAUUUUUCUAUGCUUAUUCCCAUAAUGAAAUAUUGCACUAAUAAAAAAUUUAGACACAAGUGAACAGUUAUUUAAAUUACUAAACUCAUAUACCUAUUACAAAUACUUUCUUCAAAUAUAAAAUAAAGUAAAAAUUUACAAAUAGUAAAUUAAAUUUUCUAAGAAAUAAACCCGCAAAUAUUUAUAAAGCAACAUGUUUGUACGGUUUAUGGAAAUUUUUAGUCAGUUUUGUUACAGUGAUGAAUAGCUAUACAUGAUUGUAGCUGAAAAGUUUACAAUUCUUAAGCAAAGAACAGGCAACAUCUAUACGAAGUACUUUUGAAACUCAUGUUCACAGCUACAUUUCAAAAUGUUCAUAAGUCAUGAACAUUAAAGUGGCAAUUCCUUUAAGUCUACCAAUUAAAUUGUUUUAUAUUCCAACCAGCAACUUGUCAUUGGCAGUGUAAGCAAAUAGGCUUAGUAUCUAAAGCCAUGUUGGUCAAUUAGUUUUCUUAACAUUACUACAGAAAUGUUUUUUAUAUUUAUCUUGAUAGCUCAUUUCCAUUUUAACAUUGUUGCAAAAAUUGUCAUCUAGUAGCAAUAAAGAGUUAAGACAAAUGUUCAUAAUAUGUUUAUUUUGGUAACCUUUGUCAUUUUUCAUCUCCCAAAAAAAUCUUAAUCCAUCAUGGUUUUUCUAUUCAAAAAAAUACUACAUUCAAUAUCAAAUUUUGUUAAAAUAUGCUGCAUAUAAGUCUAUGGAAUGCAGUUUCACUUUGCAUUUAUCACAAUUGUUAUUUUAAACAAUUUACUAUCUGGUUUAAUGACUGCAAGUGAGUUAGGGAUCAACUUACAAGCCAAAAUAACUUAAUACUUAAGAGACAAUAUUUUUUCAGUGUCCAAUUUUGCAAAAUGUAUGUAAUUACAUCUACUUUUAUUUAGAAAAGACAUGUGAGUAAAUGAACCUGUGUACUUUGUAAAGAAACAGUCUUUUUGAAGACCUUUUAGUAUGUUUUAUUUGAUUGAACACUGAAGUAACUAAAAUAUUUUUUAUUUUAUUUUUUUAUAUCACGAUUAAAGUAUUAGGUAAAUUAUACAUAUACCAUACAUAUGUGAUAUUUGAUGAGAUUCAUCUCAGAUUCCAUACAAAACAGUUUACUAUUAGUGUAAACACUAUUUUCUUUUUUCAGCACGACACACAAUGAUUAUUAGCAAGAUUCUUCAUGAACAUACUCAAACCUACUUUGAUUAAGAUCAUAUUCUGUUAUAAUGCUUUUUAAGCAUUUCAGGUGAUUUCUUAGAUUCGUUAAGGUGCGGACACAGGGAUUGUUUUAGAAAGAGACACAUUGCUUGAGAAAAGAAAAAAGACUCUUGACUUAUUGCUAUGUGCCCGUGACUGGCUUAACAGAUACUUCUUCCAUACUUUGGUUAACAAGUCGGUAGUGAUGGAAGCAAAUAGCCUCUUCGAUUCUGGCAAAUCACUUGGUAAUGGCGAAACACAAGACACAAUCUUCUACAAAGCCCUUAACAAAAAAAAAACAGCAUGGCGUUACGUCAGAUGAACGUGGACAACAGCAAAAAAAGGAGUUCUGUCGUCUCAACCAUUAGGUACAACGGUCAGGGACUUCGACGUUCAACCACUCACGUACAAACAAAGCACAUUUUGAACUAAAAUUACAGAUUCAGUCUUAGCAAAUUGCAGAACACAAAAUGCUUAGGAGUCGUUGCAAAUGAGAAAACAUCACAAACUCACAGUUGAUACUAUUAAAAUUUAUAACUGGGACAUUCGUUUAUGAACAUACUGUAUUUUCAUGUGUCACACAUUAAGGUGAAAGACAAGGAAAUCUCAAAGAUAGUGGAUAAUUUUUUUUUUUUUUUUGUUAACUGAGAAAGUUAUUGGGCUUAAGUUGAAACGAAAGUUAGAGAGUUCUUGGCUGUCUUCAUGUCUUGAUGAUACAAAAUCAUAGGGUGUAGCCAGCAUUUAUGUGAAAGGGGUGAAAAGGGAAAGGCAUAGAAGCUAUAAAAAUAAAAUAAUUGAUGUGGGGUGAUUUUAAAACAGAAUUGUAAUUUAUACCACUAUUACUCUAUGGUUGUAUACAAUAUGUUGCACAUUUUAAUUUAUAAUAUUUUUGUUAUCUUUCACAUAAUGUAAUGACUCAAAAAGUGUAAUGUAAUU